Molecule: ribosomal RNA, 303 nt
Filed under: uncultured bacterium
Lineage: Bacteria
Description: partial 16S ribosomal RNA
Rfam family: Bacterial small subunit ribosomal RNA
Source: RNAcentral
AGCAGUCGCCGCGGUAAUACGAGGGGGGCAAGCGUUGUCCGGAAUAUUGGGCGUAAAGGGUGCGUAGGCGGUUUGGCAAGUCUUGUGUGAAAUCUUCGGGCUCAACCCGAAGCCUGCACGAGAAACUGCCGGGCUUGAGUAUUGGAGAGGUGAGUGGAAUUUCCGGUGUAGCCGUGAAAUGCGUAGAUAUCGGAAGGAACACCUGGGCGAAAGCGGCUCACUGGACCAUUUCUGACGCUGAUGCACGAAAGCUAGGGGAGCAAACAGGAUUAGAUACCCGAGUAGUCCCUGUCUCUUAUACAC